GUGAGUAGUUCAGAGUUUGAUCCUGGCUCAGAUUGAACGCUGGCGGCAGGCUUAAUACAUGCAAGUCGAACGGUAACAGCAGAAAAGCUUGCUUUUUUGGCUGACGAGUGGCGGACGGGUGAGUAAUACCUAGGAAACUGCCUAAACGAGGGGGAUAACAUUUGGAAACGAGUGCUAAUACCGCAUAAUACUGAGAAGUCAAAGGUUGGUUUACCAAUCGCGUUUAGAUGUGCCUAGGAGGGAUUAGCUAGUUGGUGGGGUAAAGGCCUACCAAGGCGAUGAUCUCUAGCUGGUCUGAGAGGAUGACCAGCCACACUGGAACUGAGACACGGUCCAG
This 337-nucleotide ribosomal RNA is filed under the name uncultured bacterium. Its description in RNAcentral is "bacterial SSU rRNA". It matches the Rfam family "Bacterial small subunit ribosomal RNA", at positions 1 to 334 of the family's 1533-position model. The record is from RNAcentral.